UUGGGCUGAGGUUUUCUUCUACAUGGCAGAGAACAAUGUCAUGUUUGAGGGUAUUCUUCUCAAGCCUAGUAUGGUCACUCCUGGUGCUGAAUGCAAGGACAGGGCCACCCCUGAACAAGUUGCUGAGUACACACUCAAGCUCCUUCAGAGGAGAAUCCCCCCAUCCGUCCCUGGAAUCAUGGCAAGUUGCAUUUCAACUUUCAUUCACAGUUUUACUUCUUUUUUUGCAUGAAGUGUUAAAAUUUCGGCUUAUCAAGAUUAACAUGCUUUAGGCAGGACGGCUUCUUUAGCAAUAAUAGUGAAACAUGUACUGAUCAUGGAUUAUUUUUUGAGCAGUUUUUGUCUGGUGGGCAAUCCGAGGUUGAAGCAACCCUGAACCUCAACGCAAUGAACCAGUCUGCAAACCCAUGGCACGUGUCUUUCUCAUAUGCUAGAGCUCUCCAGAACACUUGCUUGAAGACAUGGGGAGGCAGGCCAGAGAACGUGAAUGCAGCUCAGGAAGCACUUCUCAUCCGUGCCAAGGCCAACUCUCUUGCUCAGCUUGGCAAGUACACCGGUGAGGGAGAGUCAGAUGAAGCCAAGAAAGGAAUGUUCGUCAAGAACUACGCCUACUAAGCUCUGUUGUGAUUGAAAUCUAUAGAUGAAGAAGAU
Molecule: long non-coding RNA, 651 nt
Filed under: Populus trichocarpa (black cottonwood)
Lineage: Eukaryota; Viridiplantae; Streptophyta; Magnoliopsida; Malpighiales; Salicaceae
Description: long non-coding RNA (PTRI_LNC001282)
Source: RNAcentral